CCAGACCUGAAACUACAUCAUCUUUAGAACCUGAAAUACAAGGAUUAGUUAGAACUCAAGAUAAUAUAUAUAAACCUAUAUAUCAACCAAUGUACACAGAUACUCUAGAUCAAGAUUUUCAAUUAUUAACAUUACAAAAAAAAAUAAAAAAAAUAAAGAUUAUAUAAAAAAUGAUUAUUUAAGCGAAAACAAUUAAGAUUUUCGAAAUUGGUACCUAUCUACAUUUUCAAAAGAAUUAUUACAAAUGACUCAUAAAAGAUACAAUAAAUUUUUGAAAAAAGAAAAAAUAAACUUAGGAUUGUUUGAAUGGCUCAAAACUACAUUACUUUUAAAAGGAGUAAAAAUUCCUGAAUUCAAUAAACUACAUACCCUUGAAAAUCAAUAUCAAACAUAUACUACAGAACAACAAAAACAUAUUCGAAGUAUUCAUCCUCCAGAAGAAAGUAUAAAAAUUCUCGGAAAAGAUAAGCAAGAAGAAUUAAAAAUAAUAGCUACUUCAUAUAAAACACUUCCUGGAUAACACUAUCAUAAAAUGGAACUAUUACCUCAUUUAUUAGAACAAAAUAACUAUACGAAUUUAUAUUUACAAACCAUAGGAAAACAAACUACCAGAAUAGAAAAUCUUAUCAGACAACCAUAAGAAAAAAUUGAAUAAAGGAAAAAUGCAAUAUUAUUUAAACCUCCUCCUCUAAUUAAUAAAUAAAUAUUUCAAAUGAAAGAAGAACAUUCAUCUGAAUUAAUGCAACAAUUAAUUACCAAAUUAGCAAGUCUAGAUAUCAAAGGAAAGGAUAAAGUUAAAAGUCAAUAAUCAGUAAUAAAGAUAACAGAACCAACAGCUAUGAUGUUACAUGAAAUACCAGAAAUUCAGAAUACCAUUACUAACAUCAAAGAUGCUUUUACUCAAUCAUCUCUAGAAAAUAAUAUCAACAGAAUAGAUUAUGGUAAAAAAUGGAGACCUGUAUCUCAAUCUAGAAUGUACCAUACUAGACCUACUCCAGUUGAUAUACAAUUUGAAGAAGACCUUAUAUCCCAUACUGUAUCAUAUUCAGGACGAACUAUUGUUAAUUGGAAUAUAAACGGAAUGUCCGAUCAUCAGAUUCUUGAUACAAUGAAACACAGGACCAUGUAUGCCACUGCAUGCAAGGUCUCUGGAGCUCAUGACCAAGAUGUAGCAAAAGCUAUUAUUUGUGGCUUUACUGGUUGGCUCAGAUGAUGGUGGGAUUUCCACCUUAAUGAUAUAUCGAAACAACAAAUAUUAACAGCCACUAAACAAUCAUAUAUUAAAAAUGGAUUAAAUCAAGACGUCGUUCAAGCCGGAAGCGAUGAUGUCAAUACCCUCAUAUACACAAUAACCCUUCACUUUGUUGGAAGUACUGCCCUACUAGAAGCAAGAUCUGAAGACCUCCUUUCUAAUCUUAAAUGUCCAACCCUUUCUCACUAUAAAUGGUAUAAAGAUGUUUUCUUUUCCCGCCUUCUUAUUCGAGAAGAUAGUAGUUCCGAUCACUAGAAAGAAAAGUUUAUUUCCGGCCUUCCCUAUCUCUUUGCUGAAAAAGUCCGCAACUGCUUUAAAACAAAAAAUGGGGGGAUUAUUCCCUAUCACCCCUAUACUCUAGGAGAAUUAUCAGCCGAGAUAUGUGUUGAAGGGCUAGCUCUUUGCACUGAUCUAAAACUCAAAAAACAACUUGAUAAACAAAAGAUGACUGGUCAUAAAGAACUUGGUGAUUUUUGCGAACAAUUAGGAUACAAUCUAACUAUUUCCCAAAAGAAACCCCAUAAAAGAAUAAAACAAGAAAAGCGACAAAAAUCAUACAAAAAAUCAUAUAAGAAAAAUAAAUACAAAAAAUAUGAACAACCUCCUAAAGGAAGUUCUAAAUAUAAAAGGCCUAAAAGAAAAAUACCUAGAUGCUAUAAAUGUGGAAAAUUACGACACUAUAAAAAUAAUUGUCAGGUAAAGAAAAAGAUAGAAUCAUUAAUAUUAGAUGAAAAUAUAAGAAAUCAAUUAUAUGAAAUUAUUCAACUAUAUGAUAAUAAUAAUAGUACAACAUCUUCCUCAUAUUCGGAAAGUUCUGAUGAAGAAUCAGAUAUAGGAAUAAUAAAAGAAGAAGAUUUAUUAAAUGAGACAUCUUCCUUCUCAAAAAACGACAACAAAUGUGCAUGUCAUACUAUUACCAAAGAGGACAAUUUAAUUCUAGAAAUUAUAGACAAAAUACCUAAUACUGAAGAUAAAAGAACAAUAAUCAGCCAAUAUAUUCAGAUAGCAAAUGCUAGAAAUAAACCAACUCCCUUAAUAAAACCACCGGAAGAAUAUAGCUUAUCUGAAAUACUUAAACGAAUUGGUCAAAAGGGUAACAGCCAUAAAGAACCUACUAUUGUUGAACUAAAACACGAAGUUAAUGAAAUAAAAUCUGAACUUAAUAAUUUGAAAAAUAGGGUUAAGUUAUUAGAAUUAACUAAUCAAUUAACCGAUAAUCCAUCUGAAGAUGAAGAAAUAGAAUUUGAUGAGCUAAUAACUAAUAAUAGAAUAUUAGAUAAACCUGAAUCUUCUAAAAACAAACAAGAACCUCAGUUAAAUUUAAUAAAUAAAAUCUUAAAUCAAAAAUGGUAUACCUUAAUUAAAAUAAUAGUUCAGAAUGAAUACCAUUUCCAAUCUAUGGCCUUGAUAGAUUCAGGAGCCGAUUUGAACUGCAUAAACGAGGGUUUAGUCUCUAACAAAUAUUUUGAUAAAACCACGCAAAUCCUAAAUACAGCCGAUGGAAGCAAAUUGAAAAUAAAUUAUAAAUUAUCAAAUGUUGUCAUAUGCAAUAAUGGCAUCUGUCUAGAAUUACCAUUUAUCAUGGUAAAAGGACUUAACCAAGCUGUUAUUUUAGGUACUCCUUUUAUUAGUAUGCUAUACCCUAUUGUUAUAGAUCAUACUGGAUUAGAAUCAAAGAUUGAAGGAAUAAAAGUAAAAUUCGAAUUUAUUGAUAAACCAAAAAUAAAAGAAAUAAAUAAUAUAAAACAAAAUCUACAAAAUAAAGAGAAAUUUUUAUAUCAGCUCAGAACUGAAAUAAAAUAUAAAGCAAUUGACGAACAGCGAUCACUUCCUAAAACGAAAUAAAAAAUCGAAAACUUAAGACACCAAUUUGAAAAAGAGAUAUAUAGUGAUUUACCUAAUGCUUUUUGGAAUCGACGAAAACAUAUAGUAUCUCUUCCAUAUGAAGAAGGAUUUUCUGAAACUAAAAUUCCAACAAAAGCUCGCCCAAUCCAGAUGAAUUCAAAAAUGUUAGAAAUUUGUCAUAAAGAAAUAACUUCUCUCUUAGAAAAAAGAUUAAUAAGGCCAAGCUCAUCUCCAUGGAGUUGUGCCGCCUUUAUGUAGAAAAUAAUGCCGAAAAGGAACGAGGAGUUCCAAUAUUAGUUAUCAAUUACAAACCAUUAAAUAAAGUUUUAAAAUGGAUCAGAUAUCCAAUUCUUAAUAAAAAAGAUUUAUUAGAUAGACUUGUAAAUGCUUGUAUUUUUUCAAAAUUUGAUCUUAAAUUCGGAUACUGGCAAAUACAAAUAAAUGAAAAGGAUUGCUAUAAAACAGCAUUUAAUGUUCCAUUUGGCCAGUAUGAAUGGAAUGUAAUGCCAUUCGGCCUAAAAAAUGCACCAUCUGAAUUCCAAAAAAUUAUGAAUGAUGUUUUUAACCCUUAUAUGACAUCUAUGAUAGUUUACAUUGAUGAUGUUCUUAUUUUUUCAGCUGAUAUACAUCAACAUUUCAAACAUUUAAAUAUAUUUCUCAAUACUAUUAAAAUGCAGGACUCGUAGUUUCUGCAAAGAAAAUAGUUCUUUGUCAACCUAAAAUUAGAUUCUUAGGCCAUAAUAUCUUCCAAGGCACAAUUAUUCCCAUAGAUAGAGCUAUUGAAUUCUCUAUUAAAUUCCCUGAUAUUAUCUUAAAUAAAGUUGAAUUACAACGAUUCUUAGGAUGCUUAAACUAUAUUUAUGAUUUUAUUAAAGAUUUUGCUAUUAUUGCUAAACCUUUAUACGAUCGACUAAAAAAGAAUCCUCCUAAAUAGACGGAUCAACAUACUAAUGUUAUUCGAAUUCUUAAAAGCAAAUCAACAGAAUUACCUUGCUUGGUCUUAUCUGACCCUACUGCUUUUAAAAUUAUUGAAUGCGAUGCCUCUGAACUUGGUUUAGGCGGAAUCCUUAAACAAACAAGUAAAUGAUAAAGAACAAUUAGUACGUUAUACAUCUAAGGCCUGGAAUUCUACACAACAAAACUAUUCAACCAUUAAAAAAGAAAUUUUAGCUAUUGUUCAUUGCGUGAAUAAAUUUCAGAGCGACAAUCUUAAUACCUCAUUUCUUAUUAGAACUGAAUGUAAAUCGGCUCGCGAUAUUUUGCAAAAGGAUGUUCAAAAUCUUGUAUCUGAACGGAUUUUUGCCCGUUGACAAUCGAUUUUAUCUUCUUUCGAUUUUACAAUUGAAGAUCUUCAUGAUUCUUCUAACUCUCUUCCUGAUUUUCUCACCCGUGAAUUUUUGCAGGGGGAGAAGGGAUCUACCGCCUCUUGAACCAGCCUCAAAAAGGUACGCAAUACAAUUAUUUAAUAUGAAUAUCAACAAUAGCAAUAAAGGAAAACUACCUAUGAAGAUUGUCCCGACUAUAUCUGACUCACCCCUACACUCCUAUCCGCCUUUAUCUCUAGCCAGAUCAAUCAAUUACCCAGAAUAUUCAUCCCAACCAAAAUAUGUUCCAGUCUUCACUCCAGCAUCUAGCCCCAAUAAAUCCGUUAACCCAAAUAAAUCAAUAUAUGAAGAAAUUGCUUUAUUGAUAGAUGUUACCAUUGAUGAAAAACAUACACAUAUUGACCCAAAUAAAUUAGCCACUCUAUAUUUACAAAACCACCUUAAUCCUUCAAACGGCAACAAGACCAGAGAGUGGUACGAAGCUGUCCUUUUAGAAACAGGGUCUAUUUCAAUUAUGCAUUUCUUCAAUCCCAAUACAAAAAUAAUUGGAUAUUCGAAAAUACAAAUAAGAAAAUUAUGAUGAUUGGGGGUACGGGCCAUCCCAGGGCCGAAAACUUCAAGCCCCAAAAUUUCAAUAUA
This 5061-nucleotide long non-coding RNA is filed under the name Amborella trichopoda. Its description in RNAcentral is "long non-coding RNA (ATRI_LNC002914)". The record is from RNAcentral. Lineage: Eukaryota; Viridiplantae; Streptophyta; Magnoliopsida; Amborellales; Amborellaceae.